AGACCCUGGCAGGGGAGAUACCAUGAUCACGAAGGUGGUUUUCCCAGGGUGAGGCUCAUCCAUUGCACUGUGGGUGUGCUGACCCCUGCGAUUUCCCCAAAUGCAGGAAACUCGACUGCAUAACUUGUGGUAGUGGGGGAUUGUGUUCGUGCUUUCCCCUG
This 161-nucleotide small nuclear RNA is filed under the name Gopherus evgoodei (Goodes thornscrub tortoise). RNAcentral describes it as "U1 spliceosomal RNA (ENSGEVG00005004592.1)". It matches the Rfam family "U1 spliceosomal RNA". Rfam says of the family: U1 is a small nuclear RNA (snRNA) component of the spliceosome (involved in pre-mRNA splicing). Its 5' end forms complementary base pairs with the 5' splice junction, thus defining the 5' donor site of an intron. There are significant differences in sequence and secondary structure between metazoan and yeast U1 snRNAs, the latter being much longer (568 nucleotides as compared to 164 nucleotides in human). Lineage: Eukaryota; Metazoa; Chordata; Testudines; Testudinidae. The record is from Rfam by way of RNAcentral.